RNAcentral lists this ribosomal RNA (497 nucleotides) under uncultured bacterium. RNAcentral's name for it is "partial 16S ribosomal RNA". It matches the Rfam family "Bacterial small subunit ribosomal RNA", at positions 28 to 507 of the family's 1533-position model. The record is from RNAcentral.
GAUGAACGCUGGCGGCGUGCCUAAUACAUGCAAGUCGAGCGAACGGACGAGAAGCUUGCUUCUCUGAUGUUAGCGGCGGACGGGUGAGUAACACGUGUAUAACCUACCUAUCAGACUGGGAUAACUUCGGGAAACCGGCGCUAAUACCGGAUGAUAUUUUGAACCGCAUGGUUCAAAAGUGAAAGACGGUCUUGCUGUCACUUAUAGAUGGAUCCGCGCUGCAUUAGCUAGUUGGUAAGGUAACGGCUUAUCAAGGCAACGAUGCGUAGCCGAACUGAGAGGGUGAUAGGCCACACGGGAACUGAGACACGGUCCAGACGCCUACGGGAGGCAGCAGUAGGGAAUCGUCCGCAAUGGGCGAAAGCCUUACGGAGCAACGCCGCGCGAGUGAUAAAGGCCUUCGGAUCGUAAAACUCUGUUAUUAGGGAAGAACAGAUGUGUAAGUAACUGUACACAUCGUGACGGUACCUAAUCAGAAAGCAACGGCUAACUACGUG